GGGUCAGUAGGUUGGUCGUGCCACCGGUACGUACUGGUCUCACUGAUUCCUCCUUCCUGAAGAACCGUAAUGCCAUUAAUUUGGUGUUGCGGGGAAACAGGACUGUUACUUCGAAAAAAUUAGAGUGUUUAAAGCAAGCUAACGCUUGAAUACAUUAGCAUGGAUUAAUGAAAUAGGACGAUCGAUCCUAUUUUGUUGGUUUCUAGGAUUGACGUA
This 216-nucleotide ribosomal RNA is filed under the name Glomeromycotina sp. Its description in RNAcentral is "partial small subunit ribosomal RNA". The stretch from base 40 to 216 matches the Rfam family "Eukaryotic small subunit ribosomal RNA", at positions 686 to 864 of the family's 1831-position model. The record is from RNAcentral. Lineage: Eukaryota; Fungi; Glomeromycota.